GGAAAUAAAAAAGGUCUCGUAGAUUAACUUACUGUAAUCAUGCAUAAAAGAAUUUCAAGUGCUGUGGCUUUUGAGGAUUCUCUCUUGUUUGAGAUAAUAAAAUUAGUUGCAAUAAUUAAGAACAGGAUUUAAUUAUAUCUUUGCAAAAGCUUUAUGUACAUGAAUAGAAAUUAUCCAGUAAAUUUUCCCCGCAAAAUAUGUAUAGAUUUGAUGAAAACUUUAAUAACAUUUUACCAGAAAUGUGAAUUAGAAGAGUGGCCAUUUAUCUGUUGUUUGUAAGUAACAGGUAAUAGUUACUUGAUCAAAUAUCUAGUUGUAUAGGCAUGGAAGAUAUUUGGGAUAAUUCACACAAGUGUCAGUUGAGAAGUUACAACUAAAAGAUUUCAUUCUACUAGAUAAAAUACUGCAUCAAGGAAGAGAAAGACUUUUAAGUGGAUCUUAUAAGCAAGAAUUGCUUAUUAAUGGACCUCUGUAGAAGUAACAGGAACUGUGAGUUCUUAUCCUCUUCAUGAUGCAAUGUCUUUUUGCUCUUAACAAUAGUUUGAUCAUCUCUCUGACUAUCUUCAGCAGUUAAGUGAAAAGUUACUCCAGUGUAACUCAGAAUCAUAAGAUUGUUUCAGGUGGAACAUGAAAAUGCAUUAACAGAUAAGUCGGAUACUAUAUAAAUUCAAAGAAAUUCAGUUUUAUUUCAUUUACUGAUUAGUCGAAGAUGUAUACACACACAUGAAUAAGGAAUUUUAUGGUUAAGAGAGUACAAUGUAUUGAAUUAAGUACAGUAUUUAUAUUUUACUUGUCUCUUCACUUGAAAUAAACACCAGCUAAAACCUAGUUCACAAAUAACUGCAAAACAACUAUGCUCAGAUUAGAUGAUAAAUGACCUGGACUGUGUUCUGUAUGAGCUGCAAGUUUUGAGAGAAGUCCACUAAUAUCUUAUUUGAAAAUUCAUCGUUUUGUUUAAUUUUUACCUUUUAAUCAAAGUCUCAGGAACUAUCUUCAAAUAAUUUGAUAAAGUGAGCAAAAAAUGGCUGGAAUUACUAGCAAUUAGCCAAGCUUUUGUACUAGAAUUUCACAGUGGAUUCAGUUUUUAUAUAUUUGGCACUGCUUUUUUAUUGUUAGGCUUUAGAUUUCUAAAUAGCACAGUGGCCCAACUUUUAGUAUGAUCACUGAAGAACAACAUGAAAUUUCACUUCAUUACACUAAUUUUUAAAAUUUUCAGUAGAGUAUAAAUAAACUUACAUUAAUGUACAACUAUUCUACUAAAACCCAUAACUAAACCUGUUCUUGUAACACAUGUGCAUAAAAACUGAACUCAAAGUAAUUAGUAAUUACUGCCAUUUGUUCACUAGAAUGAAAGAAA
Molecule: long non-coding RNA, 1357 nt
Organism: Limulus polyphemus (Atlantic horseshoe crab)
Lineage: Eukaryota; Metazoa; Arthropoda; Merostomata; Xiphosura; Limulidae
Exons: 2
Source: RefSeq, a predicted model, not a curated record